RNAcentral lists this ribosomal RNA (465 nucleotides) under uncultured bacterium. RNAcentral's name for it is "bacterial SSU rRNA". It matches the Rfam family "Bacterial small subunit ribosomal RNA", at positions 32 to 507 of the family's 1533-position model. The record is from RNAcentral.
AAUCAACGCUGGCGGCGUGCCUCAGACAUGCAAGUCGAACGAUUAAAGCUCUCUUCGGAGAGUGCAUAGAGUGGCGCACGGGUGAGUAACACGUAAGUAAUCUACCUUCGAGUGGGGAAUAACGUCCGGAAACGGACGCUAAUACCGCAUAAUGCAGCGGCAUCGUAAGAUGACAGUUGUUAAAGAUUUAUCGCUUGAAGAGGAGCUUGCGGCAGAUUAGCUAGUUGGUAAGGUAAUGGCUUACCAAGGCUACGAUCUGUAACCGGUCUUAGAGGACGGUCGGUCACACUGACACUGAAUAACGGGUCAGACUCCUACGGGAGGCAGCAGUCGGGAAUUUUGGGCAAUGGGCGAAAGCCUGACCCAGCAACGCCGCGUGAAGGAUGAAGUAUUUCGGUAUGUAAACUUCGAAAGAAUAGGAAGAAUAAAUGACGGUACUAUUUAUAAGCUCCGGCUAACUACGUG